AGGAAGCUGAUUUGCAUGAAGGCCCUGCCCCCACUCAUGGCUCUGGGAGGCAUCAAAAGGCCCGAGGGCCCCACCAUCCAGCCCAGGAGGCUGAGGAGGCCGCGUCCCAGGAGUGUCCCCACCAUGGCCUGGACGGUGCUUCUGAUCGGGCUCCUCGCUGUCGGCUCAGGGGUGGAUUCUCAGACUGUGAUCCAGGAGCCGGCGAUGUCAGUGUCUCCUGGAGGGACCGUCACACUCACCUGUGCCUUUAGCUCUGGGUCAGUCACUACUAGUAACUACCCCAGCUGGUUCCAGCAGACACCAGGCCAGCCUCCCCGACAGCUGAUCUACCAAACAAACAGCCGCCCGACUGGGGUCCCCAGUCGCUUCUCUGGAGCCAUCUCUGGGAACAAAGCCGCCCUCACCAUCACGGGGGCCCAGGCUGAGGACGAGGCCGACUAUUUCUGUGCUCUGUAUAAAAGUAGUACUAAUGCCACAGUGAUGUAAACCCAUGGGGAAGUG
Phacochoerus africanus (Common warthog) is the source of this 501-nucleotide non-coding RNA. The record is from the annotation of a RefSeq genome assembly. Lineage: Eukaryota; Metazoa; Chordata; Mammalia; Artiodactyla; Suidae.